GGAAUCAUACUUGACAGGACUUCACCAAGGUGUGGCCGUUCUGUUAGGGGGCGUCCGGUCGAUAUCAGCUUUCAACUGUGAGAUCAGUUUUCGCACAGAUUAGAUCUGAGCAUAUUGUCUAUGUCAAUUGAUGUAAGGCAUAUAUUGUUGUCCUCCUUGCUGAGAGACGAGAGGUAAGAAUUGAUGUAUUUGCUGUUGUCUCGCUGGACCUUUGCCAUGUCGGGUGCGCUCGCUUGGCAGGUCACCAGAUCCUUAAUAAAAAUUUGAUUGUUGUGUUCUUGGGGGAGAUCGCAUGGGGUGUAUGUUUUGCCCCGGGGUCUCCCUCUCUGUGUCUCUCUCCCUCUGAUUAUUUUUCUCGGUCAGAUAUUACUCAGAAUUCUGGAGAUUGUCCAUUCAGCACGCGAUAACGCCAUCGGCGAGAGAUCAUUUCCUGAACUUUGGAGGCAUGGUAGUUGAGGUUGCGGUUUGAGCUUAGAUUUAUCAAGCAAGCAACUGAAAUUGUGGAGUUGAUGCAAGCAAGCAUCUGAAUCAAGAUUGACUGAACUCUUGUGAUUAUAUUCCCGAAAGACGUGAUUGUCCCAUAGAAGACCACUGUUAAAGGCUGUACACUCUGAUAUGUCAUUGGAUCCUGAAAUAUUUAUUGCUAUAUUGUUCAGAGAGCAAGCUUUCUGAGCUGAAAGUAUUGGUAGUUGUUUCUUGGAUCCAGAGUCUGCUGGUGCUAUCAUCGGUUGCUGAAGUUUUAAUAUAGUAAUGUCAUUUUUGUUGCGGAAAAUGGUGAGCCAUGCGGAAGCACAAUAAUCCAAUAUUUUAUGUUGGUAAGCUAAUGUUGUUCGGCUUAGCCUACCGUGAAGGGAUAAUCAACUAUAUGAAGAAUCUGAUGACUUGCAUAGGCCACAAGCUCGUAUCAAGAAAAGGGUUCUGAUUUCACUCAAGAGGAGAAUUGCAUGGAAGAACGAUCGUAUUUAUUGUCCAAUAAGUUUACAUGGUUUAACUCUGUAUACAUUCACAUGGGUGAAUGGAGAAUUCACUGUACGAAGAAUCUGAUCACUUGCACAUGCCACAAGCUCCUCUCAAGAAGAGGGCUCUGAUUUCACCCAAGAGAAGAGAACCGCACAGUGCGGAAGCACGAUUGUACUUAAUUGUUCAGUUAGUUUAUGUGGUUCGGCUUCCCCUACCUUUAUAGGGUGAAGGGAUAAUCCUCUAUAUGAAGAACCUGAUGACUUCGCACAUAUUGCAAGCUCGUCUCAAGAAGAGGGCUUUGAUUUCUCCUAAGAGAAGAGAACCGCUCGGAAGCUCAAUCAUCCAAUAAGUUUACGUGGUUCGGCUUUGCCUACAUUCACGCACGGGGAUGAAGGGAUAAUCCUCUAUAUGAAGAACCUGAUGACUUCGCACAUAUUGCAAGCUCGUCUCAAGAAGAGGGCUUUGAUUUCUCCUAAGAGAAGAGAACCGCUCGGAAGCUCAAUCAUCCAAUAAGUUUACGUGGUUCGGCUUUGCCUACAUUCACGCACGGGGA
This 1513-nucleotide unclassified non-coding RNA is filed under the name Hevea brasiliensis (rubber tree). The record is from RNAcentral. Lineage: Eukaryota; Viridiplantae; Streptophyta; Magnoliopsida; Malpighiales; Euphorbiaceae.